GUAUCAUUUUCCUAAAUCUAAUGGCAGAUCAUUUAGGCAUGAUUGGCUAGACCAGCAUGAAUGGCUUUGCUAUUCACCUUCACAAAAUGGUACUCUGCAGCCUAUCGAGAUGAUCAUGGAUGCUGGUAUCAAGAAAGAAAUAGAACAGAAUAGGGAAAUACUAUCUCCAAUUAUUGAUUCUGUCAUUUUUUGUGGACGUCUAGGUUUACCUCUUCGUGGGCAUCGUGAUGAUUCCAAGUAUCACCCUACUGUUGGUUGUUAUUCAUCUGGAGGGGUUGGUAAUUUCAUUGAAACACUCAAUUAUGGAGUUAGGAGAGGGGAUAAAGUUUUAGAAAAUCAUUUAAAGAAUUGUGGUAAGAAUAGAAGUUAUAUUUCUAAAACAAGUCAAAAUAAAAUCAUUAAAUGUUGUGGCCAGGUAAUCAGUAAUCAGAUUAUUUCUGAUAUCAAAAA
Long non-coding RNA from Xenia sp. Carnegie-2017, 450 nucleotides. RefSeq lists it as uncharacterized. The record is from RefSeq and is a predicted model, not a curated record. NCBI's taxonomy places the organism in Eukaryota, Metazoa, Cnidaria, Anthozoa, Malacalcyonacea, Xeniidae. The transcript is spliced from 2 exons.